This 2099-nucleotide ribosomal RNA is filed under the name Salmonella enterica subsp. enterica serovar Enteritidis. RNAcentral's name for it is "partial 23S ribosomal RNA". It matches the Rfam family "Bacterial large subunit ribosomal RNA", at positions 723 to 2802 of the family's 2925-position model. Lineage: Bacteria; Pseudomonadati; Pseudomonadota; Gammaproteobacteria; Enterobacterales; Enterobacteriaceae. The record is from RNAcentral.
CGGUGAUCUAGCCAUGGGCAGGUUGAAGGUUGGGUAACACUAACUGGAGGACCGAACCGACUAAUGUUGAAAAAUUAGCGGAUGACCUGUGGCUGGGGGUGAAAGGCCAAUCAAACCGGGAGAUAGCUGGUUCUCCCCGAAAGCUAUUUAGGUAGCGCCUCGUGAAUUCAUCUCCGGGGGUAGAGCACUGUUUCGGCUAGGGGGCCAUCCCGGCUUACCAACCCGAUGCAAACUGCGAAUACCGGAGAAUGUUAUCACGGGAGACACACGGCGGGUGCUAACGUCCGUCGUGAAGAGGGAAACAACCCAGACCGCCAGCUAAGGUCCCAAAGUCAUGGUUAAGUGGGAAACGAUGUGGGAAGGCCCAGACAGCCAGGAUGUUGGCUUAGAAGCAGCCAUCAUUUAAAGAAAGCGUAAUAGCUCACUGGUCGAGUCGGCCUGCGCGGAAGAUGUAACGGGGCUAAACCAUGCACCGAAGCUGCGGCAGCGACGCUUAUGCGUUGUUGGGUAGGGGAGCGUUCUGUAAGCCUGCGAAGGUGGCCUGUGAGGGUUGCUGGAGGUAUCAGAAGUGCGAAUGCUGACAUAAGUAACGAUAAAGCGGGUGAAAAGCCCGCUCGCCGGAAGACCAAGGGUUCCUGUCCAACGUUAAUCGGGGCAGGGUGAGUCGACCCCUAAGGCGAGGCCGAAAGGCGUAGUCGAUGGGAAACGGGUUAAUAUUCCCGUACUUGGUGUUACUGCGAAGGGGGGACGGAGAAGGCUAUGUUGGCCGGGCGACGGUUGUCCCGGUUUAAGCGUGUAGGUGUGUGUUCCAGGUAAAUCCGGUUCACUUUAACACUGAGGCGUGACGACGAGGCACUACGGUGCUGAAGCAACAAAUGCCCUGCUUCCAGGAAAAGCCUCUAAGCAUCAGGUAACAUCAAAUCGUACCCCAAACCGACACAGGUGGUCAGGUAGAGAAUACCAAGGCGCUUGAGAGAACUCGGGUGAAGGAACUAGGCAAAAUGGUGCCGUAACUUCGGGAGAAGGCACGCUGACACGUAGGUGAAGUGAUUUACUCAUGGAGCUGAAGUCAGUCGAAGAUACCAGCUGGCUGCAACUGUUUAUUAAAAACACAGCACUGUGCAAACACGAAAGUGGACGUAUACGGUGUGACGCCUGCCCGGUGCCGGAAGGUUAAUUGAUGGGGUCAGCGCAAGCGAAGCUCCUGAUCGAAGCCCCGGUAAACGGCGGCCGUAACUAUAACGGUCCUAAGGUAGCGAAAUUCCUUGUCGGGUAAGUUCCGACCUGCACGAAUGGCGUAAUGAUGGCCAGGCUGUCUCCACCCGAGACUCAGUGAAAUUGAACUCGCUGUGAAGAUGCAGUGUACCCGCGGCAAGACGGAAAGACCCCGUGAACCUUUACUAUAGCUUGACACUGAACAUUGAGCCUUGAUGUGUAGGAUAGGUGGGAGGCUUUGAAGUGUGGACGCCAGUCUGCAUGGAGCCGACCUUGAAAUACCACCCUUUAAUGUUUGAUGUUCUAACGUGGACCCGUUACCCGGGUUGCGGACAGUGUCUGGUGGGUAGUUUGACUGGGGCGGUCUCCUCCUAAAGAGUAACGGAGGAGCACGAAGGUUGGCUAAUCCUGGUCGGACAUCAGGAGGUUAGUGCAAUGGCAUAAGCCAGCUUGACUGCGAGCGUGACGGCGCGAGCAGGUGCGAAAGCAGGUCAUAGUGAUCCGGUGGUUCUGAAUGGAAGGGCCAUCGCUCAACGGAUAAAAGGUACUCCGGGGAUAACAGGCUGAUACCGCCCAAGAGUUCAUAUCGACGGCGGUGUUUGGCACCUCGAUGUCGGCUCAUCACAUCCUGGGGCUGAAGUAGGUCCCAAGGGUAUGGCUGUUCGCCAUUUAAAGUGGUACGCGAGCUGGGUUUAGAACGUCGUGAGACAGUUCGGUCCCUAUCUGCCGUGGGCGCUGGAGAACUGAGGGGGGCUGCUCCUAGUACGAGAGGACCGGAGUGGACGCAUCACUGGUGUUCGGGUUGUCAUGCCAAUGGCACUGCCCGGUAGCUAAAUGCGGAAGAGAUAAGUGCUGAAAGCAUCUAAGCACGAAACUUGCCCCGA